GUAUGGCUAGAUGUGUCCGCUCGAUGCGUUCGUCCACGUUCGUAUCUACGUACGCAUGUGUAUGUGUCUUCAUAAAUACGUGCGUGGGUUGGAGCGCUAACGACAAGAUUAGGAUGCAGACGCAGACGCGCUCGUUUGUCCUUCUAUCUCUCUCUCUCUCUCUCUAUCUCUCUCUCUCUCUCUCUAUCUCUCUCUCUCUCUCUCUCUCUCUGUAUAUCUAUCUACUGUUUGUCUGUCUAUCUAUCUAUCUCUCUCCCUCUCUUUUUCUAUUUCUUUUACUCUCACUCUUUCCGAAUUAAAAGGAAGAUAAAAUGACGACUAUUGGUGAGAGAACUAGAUCGGCAAUUCGCGAGAUCCUUUGGCAAAGGAUAACUCGUAACCAUCGACGAGGACAUUCGCACGGAGAGGCGGCCAUGCGGUCCGUAAUUAUCCUCUCCUCCAAUUUGCAAACUUAUAUGUAAUUCAAAUCGGUGCAUGGCCGCCGGCUAAUGCAAUAAUAAUGACUUCGUGGAAAUUACUGCGCGCGCGCAGACUGUCGUAUAUAUAAUCCUUGCGAAAUACGUGACACGAACGCCCUAGGAAAUUCUCUUUCAACGUAACCCACCACCUGCAAAUCCUUUUCGAUUGCUCCUAUCGAACCAAUCGGGGAUUUAAUAUUAGUUAUUUGUUCCCCAAAAAAAAAGCAACUUGUUCAAUCCUCAUAACGUCUUUGUCGGUAUGAUUAGAAAACAUUCAGAGGAUCUCUCAUAUAAAAACCGGUAAUCGGUACUCUCUUCUCUUCAGCCACCUACGCGAUAUUUUCGUCUCUGAGAAAGAAAGAGAUGGAAAAAAAAAGAAAAAGAGAGAGAUAGAGAAAGAGAGAGAUAGAGAGAGAGAAGAGUCAAGCUCAUCGUCCAAGCUCGCGUCUCCUUUCAUUUCUUCCUGGAACUUAUCUCAUUCAACCGGCACAAACCUAUUUAUAGUCACGCUUGAGGAGAUGAUAGAGCAGUCGACUGAAUGAAAGCGUUACCUACUCCCGAAUGUCGUUUUUACGAUGAGCAAGGAACGUCGCAUUUCACAUGACAUUUGCCUCGAGAGAUUUGCUAAAUUCUCCCUUUUUUCUUCUCGGUAUUAUUUUGGUUCGGAAACCAUUGGACGAUUCUUAAGAGCCUUUUUUCUCCUCCAGUUCUAAUCGACAGAUUCGUCAUCGAAGAUUAAUUUUAAUCGCGACGGGUUAUCCCUGGCAUUACUCAGAGUCCACAGCGUGAACGUGGCAGAAUUCCAGUUCUUCCUUUUCUUCCGUUCCCUUCAUCUUCUCUUUCCUCCUUUUUCAUUCGCAUUUUCGUUCGAUCUUUUUGCUCGACACUUUAAUUGAUACUUUAACUGCUUCUCUCCUCCUUACUCGCUUCGCUCUUUUUCUAUCUUUCCGAGAAAGAAGAGCGAUGAAGGUGAGUGAUACUCCUCGUCAUUCCUUUCUGGCAAACGACUUUAUAAUUGGUCCAUUAUUAUCUUCCUCGUAUAUUUUAUACGUUGAUGAAUAUCAACGUUAAGCCAUUGUAUCUAUCUUGGCACGAUCGGCUCUUUGGUAAUUAUGAUGCAACGAGAUCGAAAUGAUCGACGAGCGACUAUAGCACUUUCGAACUUUACUCUUUCAAACGGGUAAUUACGUUGUUCUCUUUCCGAAUUUAUGUUUCCCGGAGUUGUGUAAAAAUCAUGCGUUUGAAAUCGAUAUGACGUUGUUUUCAAAUCAAGUGGACACUUACGUACUUACAGAGGCCCCCAUGACUUUCCUGGAAACAAAAUUUCCAAGCAGCAUUCCUUUCAAACGCGAGCUAGUUUACUCGCAUAUCUUAUUAUCUCAAACGAGUUCGUGAUUGCUGAUAGUGAAAUUGUUAUGGAUUAACGGAAAGGGUAGAUUUGUCGUUUGAAUUACAUCUGUCUCAUGUUUACGAAGUAAUUAUUCGUAGAGAAAUAAUAUUCUAAGUAAAAGUUGACAAGGUCUUAAACGUUCUACGUAACGUUAAGAUUUCCUUUCAAGUCGUGUAUGUCACCCGAUACCUUUGAUGAUUGAGAGUAAUGCGUUGUUCGCUAUCUCGCAUCGUUCUUUUAUUGUCAAUCGUGUCAUGGAUAUUCGAUGUUUUGUCUUGCGAUAGACACAACUAACUGAUAUUACAGUUGGUAUACUCUGGAUUAUGAUAGGCAUCGAUCGCGUUCGCAUUCUAAUGAUCGUUAACACCGAGAUAGGAUAACCAACUAACCACUUCGAAAUCUACUUAGACUCAGACAAUUCACGUUUAUUGAAACUUCGUCUAUUGAUCCUUCGAAUUCCAAUCUUUCGACCUAGAUCAUUUCUCGGAUUCGUUUACAUAAAAAAAUAAAAUGUUUUAACGGUAAGAAAGCAUCGAUAAAAAUGAUAACGGACUCGCGAACUGGAAUUUAAUAACGGAGCCGAUCUAAAUCAGUACGUUGAAUGGUCUUCGAUGUAAUACUAAACUCGUGAAUUCCAAUCAAAUAGUGUUAGUUGGAAUGAUUGAGGAAUAAAACUUUACUCGAUAUUAUUUGUUAAAUUCUUCGAUCGAUUCUUAAACGUAAUCCGAACAUACGAUUAACAGAUUACCUCUCUGUAAAGAAUCGAAGACACGCCCGAGUCGACCUAUCAACUCUAUUUGUCGUUUUAUUUUCACGUAGCCAAGAACGCACACGUGUCGUUUAGUGAUUGCUAUUAAAAUUGAAGCAAACCUUUAAGAAAGAGAGAGAGAAAGAGAGAGAGAGAGAGAGAGAGGGAGAGAGAAAGAGAGAGAAAGAGAUUCGGUCGCGAGACAAAAUACGCACGCUUACGCGCUAGUUCGUCGUACAAAACAGGAAGAACCACUUGUCAUAGAUUAGGCGUGCUCUCCUGUCCGUAGAGAACACACACGUGUGCCCUAUGGGACACACGUUCGCCUACACGUACUCCGUCGAAACAUUCGAUUUAACUAUCGUCUAACCUACUUUCGAGCAUGUUGUUGUUCUUCUUCAUCUUCUAAUCAAGUACACGCGGUACUUUCUCAUGGCUUGCAUACGGUACGAAUCAAAAAGAGCUGUGCGAUACAUGCAUAUUAAUAUCACGUACGAUCGAUAAAGGAGUUUAAUACGCGUACUACUCCUUCUGGUGAACGAGCAUGUUCUACGUACAUCAUUACGGGCUUGUAUCUCUUACGUGCGUACCUUCUCUAUAGAGUCUUAACUACCUACUAAAAUGAUUAUCGUAAGAAUUCUCACGGAAAUAAAAUCUUAUCGGUUCUUUAUACUAUAGUCUUUAUUUUUCGAAUGAUAAUAAGAAAUCUUGUAAACGUAAUCGAAGAGUCGAUCGAUCGAAAGUUAACGCGACGGAUGCUCGUUCUCGCAUACGUUCGACAAGCACUUGUUUUUGUAACGUUAAUUAGAGCUCCGUUUUACGCGUGCUCGCCCGAUGUAAUAGGGACACACAUAGAAACUCACACGCUCACGAAGGCAGACUCGCAAAGAGACAUGCUCGAGUAAAAGGCUGGCACGUAUCCUGCGCUCUAUCUCUACCUCCGUCGUGCUACGUUGCUACUUCAUGCGUGCGUCCGCAUUCCUAGCCUUCAAUUACGUACGGCCGUAGUUAUGUAUGUACCUUCGAUACGUGCGUGUACUCUUGUCUAUUAGAGAACGUCGGCCACGAGAUUAUUAUUCAACCAGAAGUACCGCGACAGCGUGCGCUCGCCCAGUCCGUUGCUGCUGCUGCUGCCGUAGCUGCGCCUUUGUUGCUUCUCUCCCUCUUCAUUUCUAUCUCUCUUCUCUUUGCCUCUCUUUCUCUCUGUGUUCUCAACUACGCGGCCUAAUGUCCCAUUCUAUGUGCCUGCCUUAAAAGAGAGAGAAAGAGAGAGAUCCCUGCCUCUUUAUCUGCUUUCCACGCUCCAAGACGCUGGAAAUCAAGUCUUCUCUAAGAAUCGAUUUCAAACCCUCUUCGAUGUUCUUCUCCGCUCCAUUUCUGCCGAUUUGCUGGUUCGUUCCUGAAUAACGAGAUCCUUCCGUAACGUCGUUAUCCUUGCGUUACGGCAAACUGUGGCAAAAUGAUCGGUUCGUUCCUUUUCUCUCGUUCAUUCGUCCAUUCGUUUAUUCAUCUUCGAAGGUUUCUCUCUCUUUCUCUCUCUCUCACUCUUUUUUCUCUCUCUUUUAGAUCGAAAGGAAGAAAGAAACUUCUAUCCAAGAUAUGUUACCGUAAGACCUUAAGAUACGACGUGGCAAAAGGAUUUUUUCACCGGAUCGAUCGACCGAUCGGCUUUUAAAUUAUACACGAGGAGAAUAUCGUCGAUACAUAGACGUGUACUCGAGCGAGACGCGACGUGCAGUAGCGAUCAAUGAAUUUGACCCGCGGCGGAAUAGAUUUAUCGUGACGUAACGAUCGUUUUACAUUGCCUCGUACGAUUAAUCGAUCGAAUAAAAUGCAUUUAGAAGCGCUGAAGCGCAACUCGAAAGCGGACGAGCUAUCCUCUAGUCCGAGUUGCAUCUGAUCUAUUCGCUUAACGAAAUUACGAUUUCCAUUAUAUAUACAUAUAUAUAUAUAUAUGCGUGCGUGCGUGCGUGUGUGUGUGUGUGUACACUAUUUCGAAUUAUCAUAGAUUUUUCUCAAUGGAAUCGUAAAGAGACGCGUAAGGUAUUCGUUCUGCCGCAUCUGCCAGCACCGGCUUCUUCGCCGACUUCGUUUCCACGCACGGAAACACAUAAUUGAAAGGCGAGGAGAGCCUCGUAAAUAACUGCGCUAAUUAUUUCUAGCCCCGCCAAUUUCCUGCCUCCUCCUUGCACUCCCUCGUUCUUCCCCCUUCCCCUUUCCUUCCUUUCUCCCUCCUUCUCCUCUUCCUCCUCCACCUCUUCUUCCUUCCCUUCCUACAGUUCUUCCUUUCUAUUUCUCUCUCUCUCUCUCUCUCUCUCUCUCUCUCUCUCUCUCUCUCUCUUAUUCUGAACACUGUUUCCUUCCAACCUGACUUUCCUCGUUUACCCAAGAAAUUUACGCCAGUAAGACGAACUCUACAUCAACGUAUUUAUUAUUUUUACUUAAGAAAAAAUAAAAAAAAAAUAAAAAUAAGAAAUAAAAGAAAGAGAGAGAGAGAGAGAGAAAGAGAAAAUUGGAGGAUUCUGACAAUAAAAUAUUUGUGACUUGUUGCCGAUUUCGGAGCGACUUUAUUUUCGAGGUUAAUGAAAGGACCUUGACUGAUUUCACGAGCGUACGCGCACGCACGAGUAUCGCAAAACUUCUCGAGGGGAGAACUCGCGAAAGAAAAGGGAAAAAAAAUAUAGAGGAAGACUGUGCGCAGAAAGAACAGUCACGCUUCCGCGGAUCAUCCUUCGAGCCAGGACGAAUCUUAUAUCUCAAAGUUUGAAGAAUUCAACUUUGGAAGAAUCGGGUCUUUUAAAAAUCAUAGAUUAAAAGAGAGAAAGAGAGAAAGAGAGAGAGAGAGAGAGAGAGAAAGGUUCGUAUCUCUUUCGGCAAGGAUUCUUAUCGUCGAGAGGGAACCGCUUCCAGAUUUUAACCAGCUCUACGGUGGAACCCGGGUACAUUUUCUCUUCAGCCAGUAUUUGGGCCAAGUGUUCUCCCUCGUCUGGGCUGUAAAUGAGGCCCUAUUCCACCGGCGCCGUCACUUGACUUACUUGGCUAAAAGGAAAGAGAAAAAGAAACGCCUAGUAGAGAAGAGCGCAUCGUGGAAAAUGAGAGAAAUUAUGGGUGGUACGCCUGCUCCUCCUCCAUCUCUAGCAGCAGCCACCAAAAAAAGCUCAGUCGAGAAAGAUUUCAAGUACGUCGAGCACGUCACUCGUACAAUGCCCUAGGAUUAGAAUUUUCUAACCGAGUAACUCGUUAUUUCGUUGGUAAAUGUAGCAGCUUUUUUCAUUCCUCGGUCAAUCCUUUAAACGUCGUCGAAAAGUGAGAUACCCCAAAGACCAAAACUUUGCUAUUUCGUCCGCAAACUCGUUCGCAUCUCGGUAAGUAAUUGUAUGAAUAGUUAAUUAAAAAUGUUAGCUUCGUUAGAUUAAGAUAAAGAUUCGGGGAAUGGUAGAGAGUGAUUUAAAAAAAAUUUCAUUUCGGAGAACGAGGUACCCUGCCAGUUUUAAGCCGACAAAAACUCUCUCAACCGUAUUUGGGACAAGUACUGUACCCGUCUGGCUUGAAAAUGAGGCCCUGUCUACUACUGCCGCCAUCACUUGACUUACUUGGAUAAAAGAGAAAAAAGGGACGGAAAUAGCAAAACGGAGGUAGGCGAAAUGGAAAAGAAGGGAAGUGGAAAGGAACGACGGCGAAUGAACUCGUCGCUUUGAUCGAGAAUACGAGGGAGUUGAAAGAAGAAGUUAACUGCGACUGUUCUCAAGAAAAUCGUCAUUGCAAAAAAUUAACGCAUCCAAUUUAUUCGUCCAACCGUGUUCGAGAGAACGAGAAUUUAGCGAAAGAGGGGAGAGAAAGAGAGAGAGAGAGAGAA
Molecule: long non-coding RNA, 6452 nt
Organism: Vespa crabro (European hornet)
Lineage: Eukaryota; Metazoa; Arthropoda; Insecta; Hymenoptera; Vespidae
Exons: 3
Source: RefSeq, a predicted model, not a curated record